RNAcentral lists this ribosomal RNA (449 nucleotides) under uncultured bacterium. RNAcentral's name for it is "bacterial SSU rRNA". It matches the Rfam family "Bacterial small subunit ribosomal RNA", at positions 29 to 524 of the family's 1533-position model. The record is from RNAcentral.
AACGAACGCUGGCGGCAGGCCUAACACAUGCAAGUCGAACGCCCCGCAAGGGGAGUGGCAGACGGGUGAGUAACGCGUGGGAACGUGCCCUUCGGUUCGGAAUAACUCAGGGAAACUUGAGCUAAUACCGGAUACGCCCGUAAGGAGAAAGAUUUAUCGCCGAAGGAUCGGCCCGCGUCGGAUUAGCUAGUUGGUGAGGUAACGGCCCACCAAGGCGACGAUCCGUAGCUGGUCUGAGAGGAUGANCAGCCACACUGGGACUGAGACACGGCCCAGACUCCUACGGGAGGGCAGCAGUGGGGAAUAUUGGACAAUGGGCGAAAGCCUGAUCCAGCCAUGCCGCGUGAGUGAAGAAGGCCUUAGGGUUGUAAAGCUCUUUCAGCGGGGAAGAUAAUGACGGUACCCGCAGAAGAAGCCCCGGCUAACUUCGUGCCAGCAGCCGCUGUAAU